Molecule: ribosomal RNA, 370 nt
Filed under: uncultured bacterium
Lineage: Bacteria
Description: bacterial SSU rRNA
Rfam family: Bacterial small subunit ribosomal RNA
Source: RNAcentral
CCUGAACGCUGGCGGCGUGGCUAAGACAUGCAAGUCGCACGGGGUAGCAAUACCCAGUGGCGAACGGGAGAGUAAUGAAUCGCUAAUGUACCCCGGACUCUGGGAUAGCUACCCGAAAGGGUAGGUAAUACCAGAUAAUAUAACCGCUUCGCAUGAAGUGGUUCUCAAAGGUCCGCCGGUCUGGAGCAGGCGAUUUCGUAUCAGCUAGUUGGUGAGGUAACGGCUCACCAAGGCGACGACGCGUAGCCGGACUGAGAGGUUGGCCGGCCUCAUCGGGACUGAGACACUGCCCAGACUCCGUACGGGGGCGUGCAGUAACGAAUCUUCCGCAAUGCACGAAAGUGUGACGGAGCGACGCCGCGUGUGGGAC